AGGCGGCAGGUAGCCUAGUGGUUAGAGUGUAGAGGCGGCAGGGUAGCCUAGUGGUUAGAGUGUAGAGGCGGCAGGUAGCCUAGUGGUUAGAGUGUAGAGGCGGCAGGGUAGCCUAGUGGUUAGAGCAUAGAGGCGGCAGGUAGCCUAGUGGUUAGAGUGUAGAGGCGGCAGGGUAGCCUAGUGGUUAGAGUGUAGAGGCGGCAGGGUAGCCUAGUGGUUAGAGCGUAGAGGCGGCAGGGUAGCCUAGUGGUUAGAGCGUAGAGGCGGCAGGGUAGCCUAGUGGUUAGAGCGUAGAGGCGGCAGGUAGCCUAGUGGUUAGAGCGUAGAGGCGGCAGGUAGCCUAGUGGUUAGAGCGUAGAGGCGGCAGGGUAGCCUAGUGGUUAGAGUGUAGAGGCGGCAGGGUAGCCUAGUGGUUAGAGCGUAGAGGCGGCAGGGUAGCCUAGUGGUUAGAGUGUAGAGGCGGCAGGGUAGCCUAGUGGUUAGAGCGUAGAGGCGGCAGGUAGCCUAGUGGUUAGAGUGUAGAGGAGGCAGGUAGCCUAGUGGUUAGAGUGUAGAGGCGGCAGGUAGCCUAGUGGUUAGAGCGUAGAGGUGGCAGGUAGCCUAGUGGUUAGAGCGUAGAGGCGGCAGGUAGCCUAGUGGUUAGAGUGUAGGGGCGGCAGGGUAGCCUAGUGGUUAGAGUGUAGAGGCGGCAGGUAGCCUAGUGGUUAGAGUGUAGAGGAGGCAGGGUAGCCUAGUGGUUAGAGUGUAGAGGCGGCAGGUAGCCUAGUGGUUAGAGUGUAGAGGAGGCAGGGUAGCCUAGUGGUUAGAGUGUAGAGGCGGCAGGUAGCCUAGUGGUUAGAGUGUAGAGGAGGCAGGGUAGCCUAGUGGUUAGAGUGGAGGGGCGGCAGGGUAGCCUAGUGGUUAGAGCAUAG
Molecule: long non-coding RNA, 911 nt
Organism: Oncorhynchus keta (chum salmon)
Lineage: Eukaryota; Metazoa; Chordata; Actinopteri; Salmoniformes; Salmonidae
Exons: 3
Source: RefSeq, a predicted model, not a curated record